Molecule: long non-coding RNA, 453 nt
Organism: Drosophila willistoni
Lineage: Eukaryota; Metazoa; Arthropoda; Insecta; Diptera; Drosophilidae
Exons: 2
Source: RefSeq, a predicted model, not a curated record
UGAAACUAAAAAGAAACAAGUGAAAUGUUAUUAUUAAUCGAUGGAUCGACACUACAAUCAAUGGGGGGUAGGGGGAGAAGAUCGAAACUAUGUUGCAGCUAAAAGAUAGCCCGACCCAAGGGUGUCUGUGGUGUUCGUAUGUACACGUGAGGUAGAUAAUUAUCUACGAUUUGCAAAGCUAUCGUUAUCGACGUUAUCGGAGCAAAAGCUAUCGCAAUCGACAUUUCGGAGCAAAACAUAUCGAAAAUCGAAUUUGAGCACUUUUUUAAAUGUUUUUUUUUUGUUCUAUUUGUGUGGAUUUCUUCUGGAAACUGCGAGAAGAUGGGGAAUUGCAAUUGCAGCCGCGACGUAUGCAAUGUGAUGUGGAUGUUUGUUGGGUUCCUUUUUGAAUUUGUGUACUUUUUUUAAAUUGCGAAUCGGCAUUAAUUAAAUGUUGUUCAAUAGUUUCAUUUA